RNAcentral lists this non-coding RNA (148 nucleotides) under Homo sapiens (human). Lineage: Eukaryota; Metazoa; Chordata; Mammalia; Primates; Hominidae. The record is from Rfam by way of RNAcentral.
GCUGGGCGUGGUGGCGGGUGCCUGUAGUCCUAGCUACUUGGGAGGCUGAGGCAGGAGAAUCGCUUGAACCCAGGAGGUGGAGGUUGCAGUGAGCCGAGGUUGCACCACUGCACUCCAGCCUGGGUGACAGAGCGAGACUCUGUCUCAA